Long non-coding RNA from Vigna angularis (adzuki bean), 393 nucleotides. RefSeq lists it as uncharacterized. The record is from RefSeq and is a predicted model, not a curated record. Lineage: Eukaryota; Viridiplantae; Streptophyta; Magnoliopsida; Fabales; Fabaceae. The transcript is spliced from 3 exons.
UUGUGCUUCAGAAGAACGUUCCCCCUUUUCUUUCAAGCACUCUCUCUUUUCUUCCUUGCCUUGCCACUCUCUCUAUUCCAACUCCAAAAUCUAACCAUUUGUUUCCCGAAUUGAAGCUACCUAGACCUUCAGGACUCCAAGAGCUACGUUUCUACCGAUUGAUUUUCCGUUUUCUCCAACCGGUGAUUCUAACAUUUUGGGAGUGCAAGCAAGUGGUCUAGGGUUCCUACUUGAGCUUGGUUGUCUACACUAGAGUAGGUGAUGAUGUACCAUUGGAGCAAGCUUUGGAGGUUGAAGAAGACCCAGCCCCUAGUACUUAGGCCUUCUACUAGCUCUUAGUUGAUUAGUGUGUUAUUUUGAAAAACUCCUAGCUUUUAUUUUAUAUAGUUCGAC